This 429-nucleotide ribosomal RNA is filed under the name Gemmatimonadota bacterium. RNAcentral describes it as "Gemmatimonadetes bacterium partial 16S ribosomal RNA". It matches the Rfam family "Bacterial small subunit ribosomal RNA", at positions 355 to 776 of the family's 1533-position model. Lineage: Bacteria; Pseudomonadati; Gemmatimonadota. The record is from RNAcentral.
UAGGGAAUCUUCGGCAAUGGACGAAAGUCUGACCGAGCAACGCCGCGUGAGUGAAGAAGGUUUUCGGAUCGUAAAACUCUGUUGUUAGAGAAGAACAAGGACGUUAGUAACUGAACGUCCCCUGACGGUAUCUAACCAGAAAGCCACGGCUAACUACGUGCCAGCAGCCGCGGUAAUACGUAGGUGGCAAGCGUUGUCCGGAUUUAUUGGGCGUUAAGCGAGCGCAGGGUGUUUCUUAAGUCUGAUGUGAAAGCCCCGAGAUCAACCGGGGAGGGUCAUUGGAAACUGGGAGACUUGAGUGCAGAAGAGGAGAGUGGAAUUCCAUGUGUAGCGGUGAAAUGAGUAGAUAUAUGGAGGAACACCAGUGACGAAGGCGGCUCUAUGGUCUGUAACUGACGCUGAGGCUAGAAAGCGUGGGGAGCAAACAGG